CAAGACGUAGCACAGCUUGGUAGUGUGGUUGCUUUGGGAGCAACAGGUCGCCGGUUCGAAUCCGGCCGUCUUGA
RNAcentral lists this transfer RNA (74 nucleotides) under Caulerpa lentillifera. Its description in RNAcentral is "tRNA-Pro". It matches the Rfam family "tRNA". Rfam says of the family: Transfer RNA (tRNA) molecules are approximately 80 nucleotides in length. Their secondary structure includes four short double-helical elements and three loops (D, anti-codon, and T loops). RNAcentral also lists the same sequence under 1 other name. Lineage: Eukaryota; Viridiplantae; Chlorophyta; Ulvophyceae; Bryopsidales; Caulerpaceae. The record is from RNAcentral.